Molecule: non-coding RNA, 91 nt
Filed under: Syntrophomonas zehnderi
Lineage: Bacteria; Bacillati; Bacillota; Clostridia; Eubacteriales; Syntrophomonadaceae
Also listed under: 1 other name
Description: c-di-GMP sequence
Rfam family: c-di-GMP-I riboswitch aptamer
About the family: GEMM was predicted in a large-scale screen for bacterial structured RNA regulatory elements.
Source: RNAcentral
CGCCGAUAAAGGCAAAAUUGGCUAAAGCCAAUGACGCAAAGCUACAGGGCCUUCCUUAGUUGCAGGACUAAGAUGGCAGCCAGCCGCCGAA